CCUACGGGUGGCAGCAGUAGGGAAUAUUGCGCAAUGGGGGAAACCCUGACGCAGCAACGCCGCGUGGAGGAUGACACUUUUCGGAGCGUAAACUCCUUUUGUUAGGGAAGAAUAAUGACGGUACCUAACGAAUAAGCACCGGCUAACUCCGUGCCAGCAGCCGCGGUAAUACGGAGGGUGCAAGCGUUACUCGGAAUCACUGGGCGUAAAGGACGCGUAGGCGGAUUAUCAAGUCUCUUGUGAAAUCUAGUGGCUUAACCACUAAACUGCUUGGGAAACUGAUAAUCUAGAGUAAGGGAGAGGCAGAUGGAAUUCUUGGUGUAGGGGUAAAAUCCGUAGAGAUCAAGAAGAAUACUUAUUGCGAAGGCGAUCUGCUAGAACUUAACUGACGCUAAUGCGUGAAAGCGUGGGGAGCAAACAGGAUUAGAUACCCCAGUAGUC
This 441-nucleotide ribosomal RNA is filed under the name uncultured Campylobacter sp. RNAcentral describes it as "bacterial SSU rRNA". It matches the Rfam family "Bacterial small subunit ribosomal RNA", at positions 338 to 795 of the family's 1533-position model. Lineage: Bacteria; Pseudomonadati; Campylobacterota; Epsilonproteobacteria; Campylobacterales; Campylobacteraceae. The record is from RNAcentral.